RNAcentral lists this transfer RNA (59 nucleotides) under Philometroides sanguineus. Its description in RNAcentral is "tRNA-Asn". Lineage: Eukaryota; Metazoa; Nematoda; Chromadorea; Rhabditida; Philometridae. The record is from RNAcentral.
GAGGCAUUAGCUUAAAUAAAGUAGGUGAUUUUUAAUCGCAAGAUGUAAUACAUGUUUCG